UACGUAGGUGGCAAGCGUUGUCCGGAAUUAUUGGGCGUAAAGCGCGCGCAGGUGGUUCCUUAAGUCUGAUGUGAAAGCCCACGGCUCAACCGUGGAGGGUCAUUGGAAACUGGGGAACUUGAGUGCAGAAGAGGAAAGUGGAAUUCCAAGUGUAGCGGUGAAAUGCGUAGAGAUUUGGAGGAACACCAGUGGCGAAGGCGACUUUCUGGUCUUUUAGUGACACUGAGACGCGAAAGCGUGGGGAGCAAACAGG
RNAcentral lists this ribosomal RNA (253 nucleotides) under uncultured bacterium. RNAcentral describes it as "partial 16S ribosomal RNA". It matches the Rfam family "Bacterial small subunit ribosomal RNA", at positions 524 to 776 of the family's 1533-position model. The record is from RNAcentral.